UACGGAGGGUGCAAGCGUUAUCCGGAUUCACUGGGUUUAAAGGGUGCGUAGGUGGGUUUGUAAGUCAGUGGUGAAAUCUCCAAGCUUAACUUGGAAACUGCCGUUGAUACUAUAAAUCUUGAAUGUUGUGGAGGUGAGCGGAAUAUGUCAUGUAGCGGUGAAAUGCUUAGAUAUGACAUAGAACACCAAUUGCGAAGGCAGCUCGCUACACAAAGAUUGACACUGAGGCACGAAAGCGUGGGGAUCAAACAGG
Molecule: ribosomal RNA, 253 nt
Filed under: uncultured bacterium
Lineage: Bacteria
Description: partial 16S ribosomal RNA
Rfam family: Bacterial small subunit ribosomal RNA
Source: RNAcentral